RNAcentral lists this ribosomal RNA (253 nucleotides) under uncultured bacterium. Its description in RNAcentral is "partial 16S ribosomal RNA". It matches the Rfam family "Bacterial small subunit ribosomal RNA", at positions 524 to 776 of the family's 1533-position model. The record is from RNAcentral.
UACGUAGGUGGCAAGCGUUAUCCGGAAUUAUUGGGCGUAAAGCGCGCGCAGGUGGUUUCUUAAGUCUGAUGUGAAAGCCCACGGCUCAACCGUGGAGGGUCAUUGGAAACUGGGAGACUUGAGUGCAGAGGAGGAAAGUGGAAUUCCAUGUGUAGCGGUGAAAUGCGUAGAGAUAUGGAGGAACACCAGUGGCGAAGGCGACUUUCUGGUCUGUAACUGACACUGAGGCGCGAAAGCGUGGGGAGCAAACAGG